RNAcentral lists this long non-coding RNA (12179 nucleotides) under Malus domestica (apple). RNAcentral describes it as "long non-coding RNA (MDOM_LNC018058)". The record is from RNAcentral. Lineage: Eukaryota; Viridiplantae; Streptophyta; Magnoliopsida; Rosales; Rosaceae.
CAUCGAGUAGUUUGCAAGCAAUCCAUCCACCUGAACCAUUGGAGUGCCUCCCCAUCCAGAUGAAAGGACACUGUUACCACUUCUUGUGCUCAGCUGUGGAGUAGUAAGCAAAAAAUUUGUAGAUUUUUUUAUUUUAACUUGUAAUGUAUUUCAUGUGUUUAAUGUACAAGAGCCGAGUAUAUAUCGGAGAGGAGAUAAGAACGAAAGAUGGGAGAACGAAAGAUGGGAGAGAUGUCUACUGCAAGCAGCCGACAAUAUCUAAUCUAAUCCUUAAAUCAAUGAGAACUAAUCUACUCCUUAAAUCAAAGAUUUACACCAAUCAGUCACCUCCUUUAAAUCAAGGGAAGAGAGUUGCCUUGAGCUGACCCUAGAGACCCUUGGUAGCUGACUCUAGAGGUUAAGAGUCUAAUGGGAAAUGCUUUACACUUCAACAUUCCUCCUCAAGCUAGAUCAAGGAGCUUAAUUGAGCCAAGCUUGCCCAAAAAAACGAUGAAAUUGAGUAGAUGCUAGUGCCUUGGUAAAGAGAUCAGCCAGUUGAUCAUGGCUUCGUGUGAAUAUGGUGCGGAUGAUUUGAGUUUGAACUUGAGCCCUAAUGAAAUUACUGUCCACCUCAAUAUGUUUGGUUCUUUCAUGGAACACAGGAUUGUUGUGUUCCUUUCAAAUGAAAAUAUAAGGAUAUUAUAGUGGCACACAAGUAAGGGUGGCGAAUCACAGAGACUAAUUAGACCUCUACAAUUACUAGCUUUAUGUGAACCCUAAAGAAAAUGUAAAUGAAAACUGAAUUUAGAUUUUUGUUUUGAAAGCUAAAGUAACUUAAAAUGCAAGACAAGAUAAAGAUGCAUGAUAGAUUGAUUCAGAAAUGAUGGGAAUGAAACUAGGAAUAUCGAUUUCACCAUUACAAGCCAAUUAAAUGAAAAUUAAGUCAAAAAACAUUCAACUCUCCAAUCUACAACUAGGGUUCAUUUUACUUAUUUAUGAUCAUCCAUUUGAUGUGUGAUUGUGAUCAAGUACUCCUAAUCUGCAACCUUGUUAUGAUGGUCAACUUAGAUUACCAAAUAAGAAUCCAUUAAGAACAAGAAAACUUCAAAGAACCAAAGAAAUCACAUGGCAGGAUGUAUGCAUAGUAGUUUCUUCAUUUAUUCACAUGUCUACCAAGAUUAAGCAUGAUGUGUACUAUAAUCUUGAUCAAAUAAUUCAUAAGUAGCCCUAAUGGUGAUCAAACAUUAAGAUUAACAAACAAAUUAAACUAUAAAAUCAGUGAAUGAAAGAACACAGAUUGGUAAUUUGAAUACUUUAACUUAAUAACAAAUAGUAGGUUUGCAAGUCUACAUCAAAAUUCACAGCUAUGAACUUAAUUACACAACAUGAUUACUGAAGGAAAUUUUGUGAAAAACAUGUUCAUUUGAGCAACAUCUAUGGCAUGCAAUUAACAUUGAAAGGCGAAAUCAUGCUUGUAUUGUUGGAAAUGUGCCCUAAAACCAAUCAUAUGAUGAUACUUUACGGACAUUUCACAUGUUAAACUAAUCUAGUUUAAUAUCAAGGGCAAAGAUUAUUGUUUGAGCCGUCUCAUGUAAAUGUUAUACGCUUAAACGAUAAGUCCACAGAAUAUGUGAUUGGGAGAAUGCGAGCUAAAGAAGUUAGAUUCAUGAGACAAUUCUUUCGUAGACACAUCCUAAACGUUCCUGAUCAUAGGAUUGCCAAUUGGGCAUUGACAGUCUGUUAAGAUCAGUACGUGCUGUGUCUUCUCUAAGGGAGAGUAACUAGUCUCGAGUCAUUGGUGUGUGUGACAUCAAGACAAGCAUGUAGGUGCUCAAUAAUGAAUGAGUCCACUGAACACGAUCAACGAGGAGUUCUCAUACUCAUGUCACAUGAGAACUCAUGGUUCGGAUAAUGCAAAGUAGUCCUUUGACCUGAGGCAUCAUAGUUGUCUUGUGGUUAAGUCCUUGAUCUUUGAUUGUGUUAAAGUCACUCCAUUCGAGGGUGUCCACGGCAUAGUUGGGGUUAAGCCACUUAGCCAUGGAGGCGAGUGAAUGCGCAACAAGGGAUCUCUAACCUUCAAACUGUUUGGGGGAGAAUACUCUAUGAUAUGAUUAAGAAUCUCUGGCCAGAGUAUGAAUGAGAUUUAGGAAGUCGUUCCAAAUCUCAUUCAAGGUAAUCAUAUAAGCACAUGUAUCACAUUGGAUAGUAGACAUGAAUAAACUAUCAAUCCAAACAAUGUGGUCAAGAGUAUUGUAUUAGAGAAAUAUCGUAUUGCAUUGUAAUCCUAAACUGAAUAGGUUCUCCAGCUCUUCUGAUUAGCUUGGGUAACCAUGAUAUGCUGCUAGUUGUCACUCAUGGUUUGUGGAAGCCCUAAACGUGUAUAAUCACUAAAGGGAGAAUUGAAAGUAAGUUUCAAUUCACAAUCGAUUUGAAAUGGUUUUAAUCGCCCACUGCCUCGCUAAAAGGAACCUAAUGGAUCGUACACCGUGUAAGGCAGAGAUUGAAGAAACAAUGGAGAUGAGUAAGAAUAAUUAAAUGGUUUAAUUAUUUAUGGCAAGGAUUAAUUAAUAUGUUAAUUAAUCAAACAAAUCAAGUUCGUUAAAACACCACGGGUUAGUUUUCGGCCUCAAGGCCCAAUGGGCAUCGAACGUCAAGCUCAUUGACUUAAGUUGUAUGACAACUUAAUAACAAAUAAUUCACAAAGGCCUUAAAAGCCCAAUGAAACCCUAUGGCCGGCCAUUUAGUUAAAGGAGUGGGUUUUGGACUUAAUUACAAGUUUGCCACUCAAAUGAAUGUAGGUAUAAAUAUGACUUUAUAGCCAAAAUUCAUUUAGGGUUUCUUUUAGAGAAUUGAAGAGAACACAAAGCUCUCCUUUUCUCUCUAAAGAGGCCAGCCACCCUUGGAGGGAUUAGCUAGUAAUCUUUCUCCUCCAAGGUCACUCAUUUCUUCAUCAAUCUUACCUUGGUGUGGAGACUUAGAGGUUCUCAAUUUUGAGAACUUGGAGAAACCAAUUCUUCCAUCCAAAUCCAUGGAUCUAAGAAGCAAGGAAUGAAGGCCCUCUCCUUGGGUGAUUAGCCUUUGCUUAUGCAAAGAGGAAUCUACAAAGGUAUAAUAUUUCUCAACUAACAAAUGUUGUUUUAAGUUGAGUCAAGGUUCACCAAUCUACUAGGCUUUGAAUUUCAUGGUUCAUGUUUUGUUUUUAAGUGCAUACAAGCAUGAUUCCGCCUUUUAAUUGUUAAUUGCAUGCUAUAGUUGUUGCUUAAAUGAACAUGUUUUUCACAAAAUUUCCUUCAAGUGGUAUCAGAGCCUAGGUCUAGUAAUUGGUGAAUCCUUUUGGGUUUUGUAGUUCAUAGUUUUUUAUUCAAAUGUUGUAAUAUGUUACAAGCUUUAUUCUUGCUUCUUUGAAUGUAAAUUUUGUUAGAAAAUUUUCCAUCUCAAAUGUUGUAGAUGUAGUUCAUAUGAGCAUGAAUAUUGGAGCUAAAAUUUGGUGCCAUGUUUUUGGGAAUUGUCGGCCAAAUCCAAAGGGUGGAUUUUUGGGUUCUUGUUUGACUUGUUAAAAGUGUUUUCAAGUAACUUUUGGAACCCCUAUGUGCCCUAGUUUGGUUAUAUGUUAUUUCCCUUAAGUUUGAAUGGUUUUGGGAUGUUUUUGGGUGAAAAAUGUUCAUGGAAAUUUUUUGAGUUUUUCAUGAGUGUUCUUCAUUGUUCUUGACAUUUUUGCCAAGAACAAAAAGUUUGGUGUUUUGAUUCAAAGUUUUGAUUUAUUUCAUAAAGUUUAUGUAUAUUUUUCAAAUGUUUAAAUGUGUUAGAUAUUUAUUUAGAAAGAUGUAAGAAAUAUUGGUGGGUGUGUAAGGAUUAAUUCCCUUUCACACACACCACUUGCAUGACAUUUAUGUCAUGCACCACUUGCAUGCUUUAUGUCUAAAACUACAAAUCAACACACACAUCACUCCCUUCUAUCUAAAACCGGCCACCCUAUUAAAAUAGGGUACUUUUGGGGCUUUUAUGUAAUUACAUAAAGUUUUGAUACUUUUGUGUUUUUGCACUUUGGCCCAAAAGUUUACGUUUUUACGUUUAGGUCCAAAAACGCUAAAGGAAAAAUUGUUUUGCUCCUUUAAUGAAGUUUUUGCAUUUGUUGAAAUUUUUGGGUUCUAGUUGUAAUUACAUGAAGUAGUGGACUUUUGUGUUUUUACAAAGUGACCCCAAAAGUUUAUGUUUUUGCAAUAUAGCCCAAAAGUUGAGGUUAUUGCAUUUUGGCCCAAAUUAAGUUGAGAACCAAAUUGUUUUGUCUCUUUAAAUGAGAAUUGGAUUUUCAUUUCAUUUAGCUCCAUUUAAAUCAAUUUUAUGGAUACAAAAACCAAAUGAAAAUGUUGCAUUCAAUUUAAUUAGUUAAAGUGUUAAUUAAUUAAAGGGUGAUUAUGAACCUAAGCUUACGAUAAUUGAGCUAUGUGAAAGGCCGUUUCAAAUUUGUUUGAACCAUAGGAAUGUGUAGAUAAGAUUUUGGUUGUAAUUUGAUUUGAUCAAAUGUUGUAAAAGAGCAUAAGCUUUUCUUUACUUUAAAGUAAUUUGUUUUAUUCAAAUGUUGUAAAGAGCAUAAGCUCAUCUUUACUUUGAAGUACUCCUUUCUUAUAUUAUUUGAUAUGCAUGAAAAUGGAGUAGAGGGUCCAACGCCCCUAAGACAACACGCCUUAAUGUGAUUAAAUGCGUAACUAAAAUCAAUCACCAUCCCUAGACCGAGAUUCAACACUAGGCUCGUGUUGAAUCUAAACAAAGGUUCAUAGUCAUCCUAAGGCCCUAAGACAACUAUAUAGUCCAUGAAAUGAAUGCAAAGUUUAUGUUAGUAGUAUCAUAUACUCUGGCUUUAAAAACCGUUUUAUAAGCAUAGUGGGAGUAUUAUAUACAACUAAAUUCAAUCAAAUGGACCAAUUGUUGUAAUAGGACCAAAAUUGUUUUAAUAAAGAUUAAAAUGAAUAUUUAUAUGUGAUGAGACCUAAAAACCCUCAACCAAACCAUUAUUAAGUUGAUAACCGAGAGAUGCUUUGAACAUCUCUUCGUAGGCCUUCCACCAUGGUGGGCUUCAAUCGUUUGUGACUCAUACACCAUAUUCGUCCAGUUCAAGGGUAUGCAAAGUAUGUGCUUACAUUAAGGAGAAGCCUAUAAACAUAUGAUGAAGUGAAGGUAGGCAACGAGUAUGGUCAAUAUGAUAUUCUUCUGAGGCCAUUCUUGAACCCCUACUUGAACUAGCAUGGUGGGAAUGACUUAACUAAGUGCAAUGGUGCCAAUAUGAUAUUCUUCUGAGGCAUCAUUUUCUAGAGGCCAAAUUAAGAUGGGUAAUUACAAAAGUUGUAAAUGAGCUAAAGCGUUAUCUCUCUCAUCAUUAUUGUUGCUAGACAAUAUGAUAUUCUUCUGAGGUGGGCUUGGUAAUGGUGAGUCUCCCAUACCGUACUAAGAGUUUCAUCCAAAACUCUCGAAUUCCAAUGAGGGAUAUGGAAUUUGCCAAAAAUAGUGGGUGGUGCUAUUUGAUUUAAAGACCCGGAUCAAAUGGCUGAAAAUCAAUCAAUUUAUAUUCGUUAUGUAUUUGUUUACCAAUAUAUUUGAAAACGCUAUCCAAAACUUGACUAAGAAAAGCCGAAUGCUUUAGUUUCCGGACUUGGUACCACAAUCCCAAAGAUUGUCUUAAAUUGAUUGUAUAUGUACCUAAGUAGUCUAAUCCUCACAAUCUUCCUAUUGAUAAUGUAUCAUUGGAAGAACAUGUUAGAUAAGUCUAUCAUAAAGAGGACAACACUUUUAAUGUCAUAGUUCUUCACUUACAAAUCGUUGUAUGAAGAAAUAAGAGUUGUUUUGAACAACCCUUAGCUAAUGCAAACACUAGUGCUUGUUUCUUUGUUAUAUGAACAAAGAACUUGAGAAGAAAGCACAAGGGCAUGGACACUUUAUGUGCCAUGAUUCUUCACUUAUAAAUUGUUGUAUGAAGAAAUGAGAGUUGCCUUGAACAACUCUUGAAAGUUUGUAAUUAUGUUUAGAACAUAAUGGUUGGUUGACAAAAAUAGUCCAUCAACAUGGACUUAUGAUGAUUUUGAAUCAUUGAGUGUUGAAGUGUUAAACCACUUCUAGAAAACGGAAACUAGGCAAGGACUUCACCUUUGUGUCCCUAUCCAAAUGGUUCACUAAGUUUAUUGUAAACUAUAUAGUGAACAAUAACCACACACUCUCCAAAUCGUUUGAUGUGUAUCACACAAUUGAAAUAAGUUUCAAGAGAGAUAGUGGGAGUUUAGGGACCAUGACUAUUGUAGUCAAAGGAGAAGUCAAAAGAAGAAACCGAAAUAACUCCAAAGGGAACAAACUUUCUUUAUGAAAGGAUGGACAUUGGAAGGGGUAUUUGCAAGAAAUGUCUUGCAAGUGUCAAGAACACGCCUUUCGAAGGUGUUGUAAAUUGUUCUUGAAUAGUUCAAAAUAGUUGGUUCUUCUACUUGAAUGCUUGAUUCCGUAUUAGUAACUAUGUUUUACAAUCGUUGUAAAAGUGUGGCUAAUAAGAAGUAGAAGAUUAAUGAGAGAAGAGAAAGUACUUCACAUUCGAAACGUGAAUAAACUAUAGAUCUCUGCGAAAGCAGUUAGUACUUACUUCCUCAUAUGAACUACCAAAGAAAAUGGAAAAACAAAGAUUGUCUUUACAUUCCAAUUGAAUAAAGGAACUUAAUUCCGUAUGGUAAAUGGAUAAAUGUUUUGUUUGACAAAACAUUGUUCUUUAUUAAUGAAUGAUUAGAUUAUUGUAAUCUAAUUGAUUGUAUCUAUAGUAGAGAUGAUAUGGUAGUGUUAACUGUUUAGAAUAUAACGAUGCUUAAAACCCAAAAGGUUGCAAGGUAGUGACUAAUCCCAACUGAGUUGUGAUACCUCAAAAACAUGAAAUACGAGUUGGUCAUAGAUGGAUGCUUUGGAUCGUUAGAUCCGGAUCCAACACCUUCUUAUUAAAAUUGUAUAAAGGCGAAAUGUUCGAAUCUUUAUUCUUUUGGAAAGAAGAAAGAAUCACAAAGUUGUUGAGGUUAAUUCACUUAGAUGUUAGUGGCACUUGUCCACAACAUAAAACUACUCAUGUUGUAUGACAUCCACCGAAGAUCACUCUCGGUUGGACUAUAGUUUAUUUUGAAUAAACACAAGUCCAAAUACUUUGCUAAAGGUUUCAAAGAAUUCAAGAAAUGUAAGUUGAUGAGUAAGACGUCUAAAGUAUUUGCCUCCUUAGAUUUGAUCCAAGGAAAGAUAACACUUUAGAACAGUUUCCUUGAAUAAUAUCAACGAAAGAAGCAUCAAAAGAUAAUGGAUUUCUCCAUUAGGAGAAGAACGAACUUGAAUAAGAUUUAGUUCGUUGGAUGUUAUCAAUUACCCAUAUAUAGGAUAUAUGCUUCUAAGACAAUAUGAUUGUCAAUUAGAAGAUCUUCCAAAAUUUUUCAUGACUCCAUAAGAUGUAGUUGGAAAGAAAGACAAAUCUUAAGCAUGUUAAGAUUUGGGGUUGUGUGCUAAUAAGCAAUAUUUGUUUGAUAAUUAAUCUUGUGGAUAUCCUUAAAUUAACAUUUGGGAUAUCGCUUCUAUAAACCAACUAACAAAUGUUGUUUGUUUUGGGUAGUUCAUUGUAAUCCUACAAUAGGAUUUGCCCAAGAUAGAGCAAAUGAACGAGGAUAGAACUCAAAGAAUGGGUUCUUUGAAGAAACAAGAUAGUGAAUCAACAAAUAUAAAACAACCUAGUUCCUAUACCACAAGCUCCAAGGUAGUCGAGAAGGAUUUAUAAACCGUCUCAGUUGAAUGGUUUUGAACUUUAUGACUAUGUCAUAGAGUUACACCUCUUAUUUCGAAAGAAAUAAGAAUGAAAAUCCUUAUGACUACAUUGAGUGUAUAUACGAUAUAUACUCAAGGAAAUGGUAAAGUACCAUUUGACCCGAAAUAAUGAAACCUUAAAUAGCUAAUUGGUAGCUUAAGGUGACUACAAUCAAAGAGAAUGGUUGACUUUGAAGAAACCAUCUUUGACGUAGUCUUGUUUUCAAUUAAUUCGAAGAUUGCUAGCUACAACUAAAUGGUGAUUCAAUGUUUGGACAUAAUAUGGGUUUCCGAAACCAUUAUUAAGAUAGUCUUGAUAAUAUAUGUCUAAAACUAUGAAUCACAAGACAUGUAAGUUGUAGAGAUCCAUCCAUCAUGGAUCUUAGCAAGCUAGUGGGAGCUGUAUAAGCGUCUUAUGAGAGAAAGAUCAAAUCGUUUGAUUUCUCAUAAAGAUGUAAAUGAAUCUUUUGUUUACUAGGUUUACAAAAGAUUAGUGGGAGUUAAUCAUGUUCCUAAAUUUGAAAUAUAUAUAUAUAUAUAUAUAUAUAUAUAUAUACAAAUAUAUGAUAUAUUAAUUUUGGAAAUGAAAAGAAUACUUUUUCGUUAAAGUUAUGACUUUAAAACAUUAUAUGAAGAUAGAAUGUAUAUGGGAGACAUAAUCUAUAUACAUGGGAUGGAAAUCUAUAUUGAUAGAUUUUAGGAUAUAAUUGGAUUAUAUCAAGCCCUAAUAAUAGACAGGAGAUGCUAGGAAGUUUCUCAUAUGAUGAUAAACUUCAAUUAGAAGGACGACUCUAGUGAGACUAGCAAGUUGCCCUUCUCAAAGGGAACGUACCCUUUGACUCCCAAAGAAAUAAUGCGUAAAUAGAAUCCUUUAUGCAUACGCAGAAAGGUGAUUUAUGUAUUUCAUAUUGUAUGAAAAACAUUGAUAUGAGUUGUACCUAGAAAGGUACAAGACGAUAUCAGUGCAAGCCCAGGAUCAGAACCAUGGCAACUGUCAAGUGAGUCCUUAAGUAUUUAAGAAAUACUAAAGGAUAGAUUCCUCAAAGAAUGAGGAAGAAUUAGAGUAACGUAAUGGAAGCGUAAAUGUAUUAGAUUAUGAAUCUAAUCCAUCAUUGGAUAUUUUCUUCAUUAUGAAUGAAGAGAUAAAUCAGAUAUCUCUUUAUUAUGACUAAAGAGAUAUUUGGAUGGAAACAUUAAAAGUAAUGACUUUAGUGUGUUCCAUUAUGAAUGCAAAAUAUAUUGCCAUAUAGAAGCUUACAACAAUGUUGUUUGGAUGGGAAAGUUCAUUUAUGAACUCUCUAUUCGGUUCCAACCAGAAAGUGUCUCUAGUGUACCGACACUACGACACUAAUGGGGCGAUAGCUCAAGCCAGGGAAUCAAGGUCUCAUCAAGAUCCGAACUCAAAUGAGAGACUGAACCACAUGAUUAAGAAUCAUGUAUAAUGGUGACGUCGUUAUUCUCAAGGUUGCUUCUAUGGAUAACAUAUAGAUAUCCAUUGUCUAGGCCUACUACUUCAGCCAUUUAUGAAAUGACUACAGAAGAGGUAUCAUCACUGAUGACCAAGCUGAUUGGCUCUAGUGCAAGUGGGAGAUUGUUGGAAAUGUGCCCUAAAACCAAUCAUAUGAUGAUACUUUACGGACAUUUCACAUGUUAAACUAAUCUAGUUUAAUAUCAAAGGGCAAAGAUUAUUGUUUGAGCCGUCUCAUAUAAAUGUUAUAUGCUUAAACGAUAAUUCCAAGGAAUAUGUGAUUGGGAGAAUGCGAAUCUAAAGAAGUUAGAUUCAUGAGACCAUUCUUUCGUAGACACAUCCUAAAAGUUCCUGAUCAUAGGAUUGCCAAUUGGGCAUUGACAGUCCGUUAAGAUCAGUACGUGUUGUGUCUUCUCUCAGGGAGAGUGACUAGUCUCGAGUCAUUGGUGUGUGUGACAUCAAGACAAGUAUGUAGGUGCUCAAUAGAGAAUGAGUUCACUGAACACGAUCAACGAAGAGUUCUCAUACUUCAUGUCACAUGAGAACUCAUGGUUGGGAUAAUGCAAAGUAGUCCUUUGACCUGAGGCAUCAUAGUUGUCUUGUGGUUAAGUCCUUGAUCUUUGAUUAUGUCAAAGUCACUCCAUUCGAGGGUGUCCACGGCAUCGUUGGGGUUAAGCCACUUAGCCAUGGAGGCGAGUGAAUGCGCAACAAGGGAUCUCUAACCUUCAAACCAUUUGGGGGAGAAUACUCUAUGAUAUGAUUAAGAAUCUCUCUGGCCAGAGUAUGAAUGAGAUUUAGGAAGUCGUUCCAAAUCACAUUCAAGGUAAUCAUAUAAGCACAUGAUCACAUUGGAUAGUAGACAUGAAUAAACUAUCAAUCCAAACAAUGUGGUCAAGAGUAUUGUAUUAGAGAAAGACCGUAUUGCAUUUGUAAUCCUAAACUGAAUAGGUUCUCCAGCCUCUUCUGAUUAGCUUGGGUAACCAUGAUAUGCUGCUAGGUGUCACUCAUGGUUUGUGGAAGCCCUAAACGUGUAUAAUCACUAAAGGGAGAAUUGAAAGUAAGUUUCAAUUCACAAUCGAUUUGAAAUGGUUUUAAUCGCCCACUGCCUCGCUAAAAGGAACCUAAUGGAUCGUACACCGUGUAAGGCAGAGAUUGAAGAAACAAUGGAGAUGAGUAAGAAUAAUUAAAUGGUUUAAUUAUUUAUGGCAAGGAUUAAUUAAUAUGUUAAUUAAUCAAACGAAUCAAGUUCGUUAAAAGACCACGGGUUAGUUUUGGGCCUCAAGGCCCAAUGGGCUUCGAACGUCAAGCCCAUUGACUUAAGUUGUAUGACAACUUAAUAACAAAUAAUUCACAAAGGCCUUAAAAGCCCAAUGAAACCCUAUGGCCGGCCAUUUAGUUAAAGGAGUGGGUUUUGGACUUAAUUACAAGUUUGCCACUCAAAUGAAUGUAGGUAUAAAUAUGACUUUAUAGCCAAAAUUCAUUUAGGGUUUCUUUUAGAGAAUUGAAGAGAACACAAAGCUCUCCUUUUCUCUCUAAAGAGGCCGGCCACCCUUGGAGGGAUUAGCUAGUAAUCUUUCUCCUCCAAGGUCACUCAUUUCUUCAUCAAUCUUACCUUGGUGUGGAGACUUAGAGGUUCUCAAUUUUGAGAACUUGGAGAAACCAAUUCUUCCAUCCAAAUCCAUGGAUCUAAGAAGCAAGGAAUGAAGGCCCUCUCCUUGGGUGAUUAGCCUUUGCUUCUGUAAAGAGGAAUCUACAAAGGUAUAAUAUUUCUCAACUAACAAAUGUUGUUUUAAGUUGAGUCAAGGUUCACCAAUCUACUAGGCUUUGAAUUUCAUGGUUAAUAUUUUGUUUUUAAGUGCAGACAAGCAUGAUUCUGCUUUUUAAUUGUUAAUUGCAAGCUAUAGAUGUUGCUUAAAUGAACAUGUUUUUCACAAAAUUUCCUUCAUGUAUGCACUCAAAAACAAAACAUUACCCAUGAAAUUCAAAGCCUAGUAGAAAGGUGAACCAAGACUCAACUCAAAAUAAAGUGAGUUGAGAGAUUUUAUACCUUUGUUGAUUCCUCUUUGCAUAAGCAAAGGCUAAUCACCCAAGGAGAGGGCCUUCAUUCUUUGCUUCUUAGAUCCAUGGAUUUCUUGGAUGAGGAUGGUUGAAAGGAUUCUCCAAGUUCCCAAAGUUGAGAACCUCUAAUUUUUCCACACCAAGGAUGGACUUGAAGAAGAGAUAAGUGACCUUGGAGGAGGAAAGAUUGCUAGCUAAUCUCCUCCAAGGGGGCCGGCCUCUUAGAGAGAAAAAUGAGAGCAUUGUGUUCUCAUCCUUUCCCCAAAAGAAAACCCUAAGGAUCAAAUGGCUAUAAAGUUGCCUUUAUACCACCUCACAAUGGAGUGGCAAACUUGCAAUUAAAGCAAGUUCACUACCCUCCUCUAUUUGGCCGGCCUUAAGGGUUUAUUAGGCUUUCAAGCCCUUUGUUUAUUCAAGUUGCCAUACAAAUUGAGUUAAUGGGCUUGACAUUCAAAUCCCAUUGGGCCUUGAGGCCCAAAACUAACCCGAGGUCUUUAACGAACUUUAUUCGUUUGAUUAAUUAACAUAUUAAUUAAUCCUUGCCAUAAAUAAUUAAACCAUUUAAUUAUCCUUACUCAUCUCCGUUGUUUCUUCAAUCUCUACCUUACACAGUGUACGAUCCAUUAGGUUCCUUUUAGCGAGGCAGUGGGCGAUUAGAACUCUUUCAAAUCGAUUGUGAAUUGAAACUUACUUUCAAUUCUCCCUUUAGUGAUUAUACACGUUUAUGGUUUCCACAAACCAUGAGUGACACCUAGCAGUAUGUCAUGGUUACCCAAGCUAAUCAGAAGAGGUAGAUAACCUAUUCAGUUUAGGAUUACAAUGCAAUACGGUCUUUCUCUAAUACAAUACUCUUGACCACAUUGUUUGGUUU